This 27-nucleotide non-coding RNA is filed under the name Mus musculus (house mouse). The record is from RNAcentral. Lineage: Eukaryota; Metazoa; Chordata; Mammalia; Rodentia; Muridae.
UACCGUGGAUCCCUACCGAAGGUGCUU